GACCAAGUAGCCCAGUGGUAACGCUUCCGCCUCGUAAGCCGUAGAUCGGGGUUCAAAUCCCGGCUUGGACC
This is a transfer RNA of Culex pipiens (northern house mosquito), 71 nucleotides long. It matches the Rfam family "tRNA". From Rfam's summary of the family: Transfer RNA (tRNA) molecules are approximately 80 nucleotides in length. Lineage: Eukaryota; Metazoa; Arthropoda; Insecta; Diptera; Culicidae. The record is from Rfam.